RNAcentral lists this ribosomal RNA (768 nucleotides) under Lysinibacillus fusiformis. RNAcentral describes it as "bacterial SSU rRNA". It matches the Rfam family "Bacterial small subunit ribosomal RNA", at positions 44 to 797 of the family's 1533-position model. The record is from RNAcentral. Lineage: Bacteria; Bacillati; Bacillota; Bacilli; Caryophanales; Bacillaceae.
GGGCUUAUCAUGCAGUCGAGCGAACAGAGAAGGAGCUUGCUCCUUCGACGKUAGCGGCGGACGGGUGAGUAACACGUGGGCAACCUACCUUAUAGUUUGGGAUAACUCCGGGAAACCGGGGCUAAUACCGAAUAAUCUGUUUCACCUCAUGGUGAAACACUGAAAGACGGUUUCGGSUGUCGCUAUAGGAUGGGCCCGCGGCGCAUUAGCUAGUUGGKGAGGUAACGGCUCACCAAGGCGACGAUGCGUAGCCGACCUGAGAGGGUGAUCGGCCACACUGGGACUGAGACACGGCCCASACUCCUACGGGAGGCAGCAGKAGGGAAUCUUCCACAAUGGGCGAAAGCCUGAUGGAGCAACGCCGCGUGAGUGAAGAAGGAUUUCGGUUCGUAAAACUCUGUUGUAAGGGAAGAACAAGUACAGUAGUAACUGGCUGUACCUUGACGGUACCUUAUUAGAAAGCCACGGCUAACUACGUGCCAGCARCCGCGGUAAUACGUAGGUGGCAAGCGUUGUCCGGAAUUAUUGGGCGUAAAGCGCGCGCAGGUGGUUUCUUAAGUCUGAUGUGAAAGYCCACGGCUCAACCGUGGAGGGUCAUUGGAAACUGGGAGACUUGAGUGCAGAAGAGGAUARUGGAAUUCCAAGUGUAGCGGWGAAAUGCGUAGAGAUUUGGAGGAACACCAGUGGCGAAGGCGACUAUCUGGUCUGUAACUGACACUGAGGCGCGAAAGCGUGGGGAGCAAACAGGAUUAGAUACCCUGUAGUCCA